This 73-nucleotide transfer RNA is filed under the name Actinomycetota bacterium. RNAcentral's name for it is "tRNA-Ala". It matches the Rfam family "tRNA". From Rfam's summary of the family: Transfer RNA (tRNA) molecules are approximately 80 nucleotides in length. Their secondary structure includes four short double-helical elements and three loops (D, anti-codon, and T loops). Lineage: Bacteria; Bacillati; Actinomycetota. The record is from RNAcentral.
GGGCCCGUGGCGCAGCUGGGAGCGCGCCUCCAUGGCAUGGAGGAGGUCGUCGGUUCGAAUCCGAUCGGGUCCA